This 1594-nucleotide long non-coding RNA is filed under the name Anas platyrhynchos platyrhynchos (common mallard). RNAcentral's name for it is "lncRNA (ENSAPLG00000027585.1)". The record is from RNAcentral. Lineage: Eukaryota; Metazoa; Chordata; Aves; Anseriformes; Anatidae.
UGUAAUGAAAUGUAUCUGCCUCAUGUGGUUCUGCUGAAGGAGAUUAACUCACCAUUCAGCUGGGACUAAUUACAAGCUGCAGCAGCUGGAGAGAGAAAGAUCAGGAGGCCAGAUGGCUUGGAGAAGUGUAGGGGAUUUUCUUUCAAUAACAGGUUUUGAAGGACUUCCCCAGUUAUCUGGGAAAAAAUAUCAUAGGAUGUCAUAAAGAAAAACUCCUUGGAAGAAAGAUCUUGUGAACAAGAUUUGUCUGAAUGGUUCUCAGAGAAUUCUUACCAGAAAAUGACUCUGUCAAGUUCCUGGUAAUCUGUUUUGUUGAACUAUGGAAUCCUUUUACCAAAAUGAAGAGAGAUGACAACUAGUCUUGUCCGGUAUUCUCCAAGCUCCCAGAAAGUACUAUCAGGAUUAUUCAGUAACUGGGAGUCCAAGGGAUCAACUUUCCAAAUGUCAUUAUCAGUGUUCAGUUACCUAGCAAGCACAAAUGUGAACUUCUUGAAACUAAUGAGAACAGAGGAUUUACAGCAAGAAAAUCUGGGCACGUUAAUAAAUGUUUCCCAGUUCUAUUCCUUAUUAUACUUAUAAUGGGUAUUGUGUGCUUUUCAUGAUACAGUAAAAAGAAUUGGUAUCUGCAAACAAAUUUUGCUAGUAAUAUGCAUCUGUUACUAGGAUGAUGGGGUGCAAUGUAAGCAUACAGCUGGAUGGAUUUUAAGCUCUUUGAGGAAAAUCUAUGUAUGUGUACUGCUGGGUGAAGCCUGGAAAUUUCAGAAAUAUAAAAAUAAUCAUAUAUUUUACCUAAUUUCACACAAGCAAAACCCAAAUGGAGCUAACUUUUUAAACACUAAUAACUUCUUGGCUUCAUCUAAAGUGGAUCAAAGUGCUUAAUAUUUUAGUGAUAUCUGGUUUUAGUUGUAGCAUUAAAAAAAAAAAAAAAAAGAAGUUACUUUUUAUACUUAGGUAAGUAAACAAAGUAGACACACCAAACAAACAUUUCCCUGUUUCCUGUCAGUAUGUUAAAUGUUUCAUAAGAUUUUUCUUCUCCAAAUAAGAAUGUGUGCACAUUUGUUUUUAAACGUUGGAGCUGCCUUUGACUGAUUUUAAAAUAAUGUCUUAAUAUCAUCAUGAGCACAUUUUUCACCUAGUCCUUAUUAAAGCUACACAUUUCACAGCCACCAAUUACAGGUUGGUGCUACAUCCUUGACAGUUGUUUGAGAAUAGUUUGAAGUGGUGAAGGUGAAAUGUAAUUAACAGUAGAUAUCACAUAAAUGCUUCGAUCAAUUUAAAUUAGUCACUAGUAGGCCAUGUAUCACAGAUUGAAGUGUGGUAUUUAACAAGAAGAAAAUCCUUAUUAAUAAUGUUGUCCUUUGCAUAUUAAUCCAUUGUUAGACUUUGUCUUAAAUGCGUGCAUUGUUUGACUUGAUUACAGUAGUGUGUCUGAAAACAUGAAAUUUAUUCUUUCCCUUCUUAGUAUCUUUAUCUGCAAUGCUUAAAGUAGGCAUUAGAAUCAUAAGGAAGGUUUCCCGAAAGACAAAUUUCAGUUUCUUCAGAAUGGUGUGUGGGCAUAAAUAAACAUUCCUCUGUGUGUGUGCGUGUGUAGUAU